RNAcentral lists this ribosomal RNA (1499 nucleotides) under metagenome. RNAcentral describes it as "bacterial SSU rRNA". It matches the Rfam family "Bacterial small subunit ribosomal RNA". The record is from RNAcentral.
AGAGUUUGAUCAUGGCUCAGAUUGAACGCUGGCGGCAGGCCUAACACAUGCAAGUCGAACGGUAACAGGAAGCAGCUUGCUGCUUCGCUGACGAGUGGCGGACGGGUGAGUAAUGUCUGGGAAGCUGCCUGAUGGAGGGGGAUAACUACUGGAAACGGUAGCUAAUACCGCAUAAUGUCGCAAGACCAAAGAGGGGGACCUUCGGGCCUCUUGCCAUCGGAUGUGCCCAGAUGGGAUUAGCUUGUUGGUGGGGUAACGGCUCACCAAGGCGACGAUCCCUAGCUGGUCUGAGAGGAUGACCAGCCACACUGGAACUGAGACACGGUCCAGACUCCUACGGGAGGCAGCAGUGGGGAAUAUUGCACAAUGGGCGCAAGCCUGAUGCAGCCAUGCCGCGUGUAUGAAGAAGGCCUUCGGGUUGUAAAGUACUUUCAGCGGGGAGGAAGGGAGUAAAGUUAAUACCUUUGCUCAUUGACGUUACCCGCAGAAGAAGCACCGGCUAACUCCGUGCCAGCAGCCGCGGUAAUACGGAGGGUGCAAGCGUUAAUCGGAAUUACUGGGCGUAAAGCGCACGCAGGCGGUUUGUUAAGUCAGAUGUGAAAUCCCCGGGCUCAACCUGGGAACUGCAUCUGAUACUGGCAAGCUGAGUCUCGUAGAGGGGGGUAGAAUUCCAGGUGUAGCGGUGAAAUGCGUAGAGAUCUGGAGGAAUACCGGUGGCGAAGGCGGCCCCCUGGACGAAGACUGACGCUCAGGUGCGAAAGCGUGGGGAGCAAACAGGAUUAGAUACCCUGGUAGUCCACGCCGUAAACGAUGUCGACUUGGAGGUUGUGCCCUUGAGGCGUGGCUUCCGGAGCUAACGCGUUAAGUCGACCGCCUGGGGAGUACGGCCGCAAGGUUAAAACUCAAAUGAAUUGACGGGGGCCCGCACAAGCGGUGGAGCAUGUGGUUUAAUUCGAUGCAACGCGAAGAACCUUACCUGGUCUUGACAUCCACGGAAGUUUUCAGAGAUGAGAAUGUGCCUUCGGGAACCGUGAGACAGGUGCUGCAUGGCUGUCGUCAGCUCGUGUUGUGAAAUGUUGGGUUAAGUCCCGCAACGAGCGCAACCCUUAUCCUUUGUUGCCAGCGGUCCGGCCGGGAACUCAAAGGAGACUGCCAGUGAUAAACUGGAGGAAGGUGGGGAUGACGUCAAGUCAUCAUGGCCCUUACGACCAGGGCUACACACGUGCUACAAUGGCGCAUACAAAGAGAAGCGACCUCGCGAGAGCAAGCGGACCUCAUAAAGUGCGUCGUAGUCCGGAUUGGAGUCUGCAACUCGACUCCAUGAAGUCGGAAUCGCUAGUAAUCGUGGAUCAGAAUGCCACGGUGAAUACGUUCCCGGGCCUUGUACACACCGCCCGUCACACCAUGGGAGUGGGUUGCAAAAGAAGUAGGUAGCUUAACCUUCGGGAGGGCGCUUACCACUUUGUGAUUCAUGACUGGGGUGAAGUCGUAACAAGGUA